Labeo rohita (rohu) is the source of this 298-nucleotide long non-coding RNA. RefSeq lists it as uncharacterized. Lineage: Eukaryota; Metazoa; Chordata; Actinopteri; Cypriniformes; Cyprinidae. The transcript has 3 exons. The record is from RefSeq and is a predicted model, not a curated record.
CGGAUGGUGUCAAAGACAGCUUCUCGUGAGAUUGUUGACUACAAAAAUAGCCCUGGCUUACACCUCAGAGGGCUUGCAAUGCCCUAUAAGUCUGUUUGAACUCUCAAUCUGGCGGCACCCAUUCACUGCAGAGGAUCCAUUGAAGGGCAAGUGAUAUAAUGCUAAAUUUCUACAAAUCUGUUGUGUUGAAGAGACAAGCUCAUCUACAAUCUGGACAGCUUGCAAGAGUGCGGAAGAAUAUGGCCUGAUAUGGAUCACCUCAGAUUUAAUAUCUGUGGUGAUUGUCAUCGGCAUCUUC